RNAcentral lists this ribosomal RNA (253 nucleotides) under uncultured bacterium. RNAcentral describes it as "partial 16S ribosomal RNA". It matches the Rfam family "Bacterial small subunit ribosomal RNA", at positions 524 to 776 of the family's 1533-position model. The record is from RNAcentral.
UACGUAGAGGGCAAGCGUUGUCCGGAAUCAUUGGGCGUAAAGCGCGUGUAGGCGGCUUGACAAGUCUGCUGUGAAAGUCCAGGGCUCAACCCUGGAAUGCCGGUGGAAACUAUCAAGCUAGAGUCCGGAAGAGGCGAGUGGAAUUCCUGGUGUAGCGGUGAAAUGCGCAGAUAUCAGGAGGAACACCGGUGGCGAAGGCGGGUCUCUGGGCCGUAACUGACGCUGAGGAGCGAAAGCGUGGGGAGCGAACAGG